RNAcentral lists this ribosomal RNA (478 nucleotides) under uncultured bacterium. RNAcentral describes it as "partial 16S ribosomal RNA". It matches the Rfam family "Bacterial small subunit ribosomal RNA", at positions 28 to 507 of the family's 1533-position model. The record is from RNAcentral.
GAUGAACGCUGGCGGCGUGCUUAACACAUGCAAGUCGAACGGGAAUUAUUUUAUUGAAACUUCGGUCGAUUUAAUUUAAUUCUAGUGGCGGACGGGUGAGUAACGCGUGGGUAACCUGCCUUAUACAGGGGGAUAACAGUCAGAAAUGGCUGCUAAUACCGCAUAAGCGCACUGAGCUGCAUGGCUCAGUGUGAAAAACUCCGGUGGUAUAAGAUGGACCCGCGUUGGAUUAGCUGGUUGGUGGGGUAACGGCACACCAAGGCGACGAUCCAUAGCCGGCCUGAGAGGGUGAACGGCCACAUUGGGACUGAGACACGGCCCAGACUCCUACGGGAGGCAGCAGUGGGGAAUAUUGCACCAUGGGGGAAACCCUGAUGCAGCGACGCCGCGUGAAGGAAGAAGUAUCUCGGUAUGUAAACUUCUAUCAGCAGGGAAGAUAGUGACGGUACCUGACUAAGAAGCCCCGGCUAACUACGUG